UCCUGAGGUGCAGAGGGGCUACAAGUAUAACACAAAUUAAACUCUCAGCAGGAAGUCUCUGAUAGAGUCUAUAUUUGGACAGCUACCAUACAUGUGGCUUGAUCAGCUCAAUGUUCUGCAUAACUCUAACAGAAACCAGAGGCUCCCUGGCUGUGCCUGUUUCCUGAAGAGAACCAUUUGUGCCAAGUCUGUGGCAAAGGUUUUAAAGGAACAUUAAUAUAAAGCUGCUGAUUUUCAAGGAUAUUCUCAGCUUCAGAUUUCUGUGAUAAAAUUGAGAAGACAGAGGUGGCCAAACUCCCAGAAGAUGCAGCUGAGGAGGUCAUAAUGAAACUCCAUGUGGAAAUGAGUCUAUAUAAGGAAAGAAAUUUGUUUAAAUUUGAAGGGGGACAAC
Molecule: long non-coding RNA, 391 nt
Organism: Eptesicus fuscus (big brown bat)
Lineage: Eukaryota; Metazoa; Chordata; Mammalia; Chiroptera; Vespertilionidae
Exons: 4
Source: RefSeq, a predicted model, not a curated record